Meriones unguiculatus (Mongolian gerbil) is the source of this 107-nucleotide small nuclear RNA. NCBI's taxonomy places the organism in Eukaryota, Metazoa, Chordata, Mammalia, Rodentia, Muridae. The record is from Ensembl.
GAACUAGUUUUGGCAGCACAUAUACUGAAAUUGUAACAAUACAGACAAGAUUAGCAUGGUUCUUAAACAAGGAUGACAUGCAAAUUCCUAUAGUGUUCCUCUUGUUU